AGAGUUUGAUCCUGGCUCAGGACGAACGCUAGCGGCAGGCCUAAUACAUGCAAGUCGAACGGUAAGGUCUCUUCGGAGAUACACGAGUGGCGCACGGGUGCGUAACGCGUAAACAACCUACCCUUUAGAGGAGAAUAACUUCUGGAAACGGGAGCUAAUACUCCAUAUACACUUAGUAUCGCAUGGUACAGAGUGGAAAUGCUCCGGCGCUAAAGGAUGGGUAUGCGUAACAUUAGCUAGUUGGUGAGGUAACGGCUCACCAAGGCAACGAUGUUUAGCUGGUCUGAGAGGAUGAUCAGCCACACGGGCACUGAGACACGGGCCCGACUCCUACGGGAGGCAGCAGUAAGGAAUAUUGGUCAAUGGGGGCAACCCUGAACCAGCCAUGCCGCGUGCAGGAAGACGGCCCUCUGGGUUGUAAACUGCUUUUAUUUGGGGCUAACUAUGUACUAUAGGUACAUUUGCAGGUACCAUUUGAAUAAGCACCGGCUAACUACGUGCCAGCAGCCGCGGUAAUACGUAGGGUGCAAGCGUUGUCCGGAUUUAUUGGGUUUAAAGGGUGCGCAGGCGGCCUUGUAAGUUAGUGGUGAAAGCGUCCAGCUUAACUGGAUACCCGCCAUUGAUACUAUAAGGCUUGAGUGUGUCAGAGGAGGUUGGAAUGCGUGGUGUAGCGGUGAAAUGCAUAGAUAUCACGCAGAACACCGAUUGCGAAGGCAGAUCUCUAUGACAUAACUGACGCUCAGGCACGAAAGCGUGGGGAGCGAACAGGAUUAGAUACCCUGGUAGUCCACGCUGUAAACGAUGAUCACUAAGUGUUCGGCCUUCGGGUUGAGUGCUCAAGCGAAAGCGAUAAGUGAUCCACCUGGGGAGUACGUCNGCAACGAUGAACUCAAGGAAUUG
This 900-nucleotide ribosomal RNA is filed under the name uncultured Flavobacterium sp. RNAcentral's name for it is "bacterial SSU rRNA". It matches the Rfam family "Bacterial small subunit ribosomal RNA", at positions 8 to 912 of the family's 1533-position model. The record is from RNAcentral. Lineage: Bacteria; Pseudomonadati; Bacteroidota; Flavobacteriia; Flavobacteriales; Flavobacteriaceae.